GGAGUACGAUCGCAAGAUUAAACUCAAAGGAAUUGACGGGGCCCCGCACAAGCAGCGGAGCAUGCGGCUUAAUUCGACGCAACGCGAAGAACCUUACCAAGGCUUGACAUAUAGGGAAAAGUGGCAGAGAUGUCAUGUCCGCAAGGGCUCUAUACAGGUGGUGCAUGGUUGUCGUCAGCUCGUGUCGUGAGAUGUUGGGUUAAGUCCCGCAACGAGCGCAACCCUCGUUCUGUGUUGCCAGCAUUUAGUUGGGGACUCACAGGAGACUGCCGGGGUUAACUCGGAGGAAGGUGGGGAUGACGUCAAAUCAUCAUGCCCCUUAUGUCUUGGGCUGCACGCAUGCUACAAUGGCCGGUACAGAGGGCUGCAAUACCGUAAGGUGGAGCGAAUCCCAAAAAGCCGGUCUCAGUUCGGAUUGAGGUCUGCAACUCGACCUCAUGAAGUUGGAGUUGCUAGUAAUCGUAGAUCAGCAACGCUACGGUGAAUACGUUCCCGGGGCUUGUACACACCGCCCGUCACGUCACGAAAGUCGGUAACACCCAAAGUCAGUGGCCCAACCGCAAGGGGGGAGCUGCCUAAGGUGGAUCGGUGAUUGGGACG
RNAcentral lists this ribosomal RNA (600 nucleotides) under uncultured bacterium. Its description in RNAcentral is "bacterial SSU rRNA". It matches the Rfam family "Bacterial small subunit ribosomal RNA", at positions 877 to 1482 of the family's 1533-position model. The record is from RNAcentral.